AUUCUAGAGACGGAGUGUGUAAAACCUGUGACGCAGUUGAUGAUAAUAUUAAGGGAAUGUAUCAGUUGAUGGCUAAAUGGGAAGAAUUGAAUAAAUCUAUGGGACCUGCAUACAAGUUGCAUGGUCAGAUUAAAGAUAUAAAGAAGCUUCUGGAUAUCUACGAAGCUGCACUCAGCAGCUCCUGAUCCAGCUGUGAAUACCUGUAAAGGGAAGCAGCUCCUGAUCUAGCUGUGAAUACCUGUAAAGGGAAGCAGCUCCUGUUCUAGCUGUGAAUACCAGUAAAGAGAAGCAGUUUCGAUGUUGAAACCUCUAGUGCAAAUUUUUUUAUUUAAGAACGAAGUUAAAUAAUCUAAAAAAAUUGUUCUUCAGAAUUAUGCAUAUUGCAUAACGAUAUUUGCAAAGAAACUGCACUCGCCUCAAAAUCCAGAAUUUUCUAAUUCUUAUAUCUUUGCAACCUGAUGAUUCAACGUUUAAUACAUCUAUGUUUAAGGUUUGAGGCAAAUAAUUAGUUAAUCAUUUUUAUAAACCUUUGCGAUCUUAUAUUAACUAUUUCUAGGUCUUGUAAUUCAUUUCUAUACUCCAUUCUAGGAUUUCUAGUCCAUCUUAUAAAUUUUAUCAAAUAUAUAGACAAUUGAAAAAUGAAGGUAAGAACCAGAAAACUGUGGAAUAGGAAGACGAUAUUAAAGCAAUAUAUAUCAGUGAAAAUGAUGUUGUUAUUACUCAAAUAGUUAAAACCCAUAAUAGUUAGAAAAUCACUGAUUAAGUUAAAUAGGUCUGUUCACAAUACUGAAUUGCUGUGUCUCAUGUUCAUUUGACUAUUCUAAAUCAUAACUUGAGUCUAAAAGCCGUCUUUCUAUUUAACAGCUUUCUAGUUCUCAUUGUAGUGUACACUGUUGUAGUUGUACUCAUUGUUGUACACAUUGUAUUGUACAAUGUAGACUACAAUGAGAACCAGAAAACUAUGGAAUAGGAAGACGACUUUUAGACUCACUGUACAGUGUACAGUGAUUAUCUAUCCUUAUCCUGCGUCACUGUUGCAUUUAACACUACUCUGUUAACUAAAAAUUUUAUUGUAAAGUUCCCAAAAUACUCCACAUUUCACACUUCACUUAACACUACACUCUUUGUAACUUAACAUCUAUAGAAGCUGCACUGAGUUUGUUGACGUUUACUCCUGCCAGAUAUUGCAGUACACUUUUUUCUUAAUCAAAGAUAUUCUAGCAUUUGCUUUAAAAACGGGAAAAUUUAAGAUUUUGAAUACCUUAAUAAGUUUUGUGAUCAUUUCCCUAUUUUUAUCCUCUUUAGUCUAUUGGAAUUUCAAUUCCACAUUCCAAAUUUUGAUUUCACGGGUACAACUUCAGAUUCGCCAAUCAUAGGAAGUAUCUCCUGGACUCCCCCUGCUGGGGAAAAGCUAGUUGGGGGGGGGGGGGGUUAAAGAUCUGGCAUUGGAACGGGUGUAGGGUAUGGUGCUACCCACACCUGGCGGCGGGCUGGGGGGCCCACAUUGGGGCCUCUUGUAGAUUCCAUUUCUUUAUGUUCUUUACGUAGUCUAAAUGUAGUUUUUUGUUCUUUAAAGUACAUAUUGAUAAACAUUUAUAGUGUACUUAGUCAAACUGUAUUGCUUGUCUACUUUAAAGUACAUAUUCAGAGAAUACUUAAUAUAACUGUAUUGCUUUUGUAUUUUUAAGUAUCAUAUUUAAACAUAUUCUGAGUUUACUUAGUCUUAAUGUAUUGGUUUGUACUUUAAAGUACAUAUUGAAACAUAUUCAGAGUGUACUUAGUCACUGUAGUGUUUUGUACUUCAAAGUACAUAUUGAAACAUAUUCAGAGUGUGCUUAGUGACUGUAUUGUUUUGUACUUUAAAGUACAUAUUUGAAACAUAUUCAGAGUGUACUUAGUCACUGUAUUGUUUUGUACUUCAAAGUACAUAUUUGAAACAUAUUCAGAGUGUACUUACUCACUGUAUUGGUUUGUACUUUAAAGUACAUAUUUAAAAAUAUUCAGAGUGUACUUAGUCACUGUAUUGUUUUGUACUUCAAAGUACAUAUUGAAACAUAUUCAGAGUGUACUGAGUCACUGUAUUGUUUUAUACUUAAAGUACAUAUUUGAAACAUAUUUCAGA
Eurytemora carolleeae is the source of this 2122-nucleotide long non-coding RNA. RefSeq lists it as uncharacterized. The record is from RefSeq and is a predicted model, not a curated record. The transcript is spliced from 4 exons. Lineage: Eukaryota; Metazoa; Arthropoda; Copepoda; Calanoida; Temoridae.